This is a long non-coding RNA of Mercurialis annua (annual mercury), 1084 nucleotides long. RefSeq lists it as uncharacterized. The record is from RefSeq and is a predicted model, not a curated record. The transcript is spliced from 3 exons. Lineage: Eukaryota; Viridiplantae; Streptophyta; Magnoliopsida; Malpighiales; Euphorbiaceae.
AAUUGAGAAAAACGUUGCAUCCAAAAUUGCAGAAACAGGUUGAUUUAGGUUCGCUUCAAGACACUGUACCAACAGACAGGAUUUUAGUUUUGCGAGACUGGACAGAUUCUACUUCGACUGACAUAUAAAGCAUAUGUUGAGGAUGAAGAUGAUGACAAAUGUGCAGUGGACUCUAUUGAUACAGAUGAUGAAUUAAAUGUGCCUUUGGAAUCUGAUAAAGAGUCAUUUGUGGAUGUUCUAGCUGCUUCAAUAGUGAGCGAGGAAUUUCAAGGGAUUGUGGCAUCUGAGACAGGAAGCAAUAAAAACUUUGACCAUGUCUCAGCUGCUCAAUCAGUGCCUUCCCAUACCAACAGCAGUUCUGAAGGUUCCGGAGGAUCAGUUAUAGUUUGGCUUGCUAUUUUAACAACCAUAUUAAUUGGUGCUAAUAGCUAUCAGUGUACAUACACAUACUCCUGCUUAAGAAGGUGAUUGAUUCCUAAAGUUUUUAUCUGAUUUAUUUUUGCAAUAUAUAGUUUUUGUCUUUUAACUUUUGUUUCCCAUAUACUCCUCCUCUGUUCCGUAAAGAUUGGAAAAGUUAUACUUUCACGGUAAGUAAGAAAUUAAUUAUUUAUAGUAAAUUUAUUGGAAUAUUUCUAAAGUACCCUUUUAAAAGUGAAACAUUAUGGAAUAAUUACUUACAAAAACCAAAGCAACUGUUCUAAUUAUUGCAUUAUAGGAAUAAUUUUGUCAUUAACUAAUAUUCAAAUAGCAACUUUUUCUAUCUUUAAAGAACGGAGGUAGUAUUUCUUUUCUUAUGCUUUUAGCUUAUCGAGGAAUUGUUUUCAGGAGAGGAAAUAGUUUUCAUGACUUGAAAAAGGGGUAAGAAUCAAAUGGAUGCCUUAUCCCCUUGGCAGCUAUAGUAAUGAGGAAUAUAUAUUUACUGAUAGGCUAUUUGGUAAAAGAUAGUUAAAAUGUUGAGACUAAAAAAAAUUAUGCAUAUCUAAGUUAAGAUACAAGUCAUCAAAUGGCAUUAAUUAGAAAAUUAAUAUCUAGACUUAAGUUUGAUUUGUGCUAUUUGCACUACAUAUCAAAUAUAUAUUCUUUA